AAACAGUUUUGCACUUACUUUUCGUCAGACAUCGCAGUAAACAAUUUUUUGAUAGAAAUUAUGAGUGACAGCUGAUAGAAGUGUUGUCUUUUUGAACGUUUGAUUAUUGCAGUGCUGCAAUAUUGGCAUUUCUGAACGUUCUGUUUGUUAUGGAAUCGUCAUGAUGCGCGUCAUGAUGCAUUUACGAACAUAGCCUAUGUCUAAACUCCAAUAUCACCCAAACCCAUUGGGUAAUUCUUUAAUACAUCUCUACGAGCAAACACGCCCUUAAAGAACAGAUAUACCUGCGUACUAAAGAGCAGGGUAUCACCAAAACAGCUCAAUCACUUGUUUGAGCUUGCCUAGUUGUACUCUUGCAACCAAUUGCUACAGAUUAUUAUAGUUUUGCUCACGUAACGGUUGUCGUAUCACCGAAAGCUAAUCGAGAGAGAUAUAGGGUUAUCUUAAUACAUAUAUACAUUUAUUGUGUGCGUGUAUAUGUAUGUCACUAAACUCCUCUAAAACGACUGUACCGAUUUUGAUGAAAUUUUUUGUAUGUGUUCAGGCAGAUGCGAGGAUGGUUUAGAUUCACAAUUUGGUUCAACACGACAUGACUGCACGACAAUGAACUGUAAAUGGCGUCGUGAAGCCUGAUACGUGAACAUAUGUAACAAUGGCCGGGAGAGCGACAACUGAGAGCCCGCUGUCGUGUAGUCGUGCAGCUGCCUAAAUAACUAUGUCCAUAAAAACGUGUGUUUUAAUAUUUGAGAGAUGUCGCUUGAAGUCUGUCGGUCUCUAUGUGUUCAGCACAUGAAGGGAGCCAAAAUAAAUCAAGAGAGCAACAGCAUGACGAUCGCAACAAUGCGAAUAAGGUAUAGGUUGAAAUAUCGGAAAGCAAAAUUUUUAUUUGGUUAUUGUUGCUGCGCAUUAUUGGAAUAACGGUGCAUAAGUUAUAUGCCGAAAUGGCGCAAUUGUGAUUUCUUUGCCGCCACGAUCUGAAGGUACCUUUGGAAAGAGUAAUCCGGAAGACCGCGCUACCAUCGCAGUAUCAUAUAUUCAAUAUUAUUCUAUUUUAUUUUUAGUUAAUCCCGAGAGUUGGUGCUGCGAUCAAAUUGAGAAAAAUAUUUCGUAGUUAAUAUUAUAAGAUUUUAAGUCCUGUACACUUGCAAAUGAAAAUUCGAGGCCACGCACUCAACGUCUUCGUG
This is a long non-coding RNA of Bactrocera dorsalis (oriental fruit fly), 1184 nucleotides long. RefSeq lists it as uncharacterized. NCBI's taxonomy places the organism in Eukaryota, Metazoa, Arthropoda, Insecta, Diptera, Tephritidae. The record is from RefSeq and is a predicted model, not a curated record. The transcript has 3 exons.